Long non-coding RNA from Ornithodoros turicata, 365 nucleotides. RefSeq lists it as uncharacterized. NCBI's taxonomy places the organism in Eukaryota, Metazoa, Arthropoda, Arachnida, Ixodida, Argasidae. The record is from RefSeq and is a predicted model, not a curated record. The transcript is spliced from 3 exons.
ACCAGAGUAGAGGAGGCGCUGGUGGAGCACAAGGUUGUUGUAGAGAGCAGUUCACAAAUUCCACCAGAUGGAGCAGUAGAGGAACGGUAGACGGUAGACUCAAACCUCCGAGUAGACUGUUGUGCUUAUACUUCACGUCGUAUGCAUAAAAUCAUAAAAUGAAACCGCCUCUGAAAGGAUGGAGAAGAGAUCCAGAAGCUUACCAGACGCGGCAUAGAUCAAGAAUCAGUACAACCCGGGGGUAUGAAGAUAUGGUCAGACCCCUUUGGAAGAAAAUGAGCAACAGCACAGUGCUCUGUACAUAGUAGAACAGCUUCGAUGACCAUGUAAUCAAAAGGGGCACAUUAAAGUAAAACAAUAUAUUG